This 253-nucleotide ribosomal RNA is filed under the name uncultured bacterium. RNAcentral's name for it is "partial 16S ribosomal RNA". It matches the Rfam family "Bacterial small subunit ribosomal RNA", at positions 524 to 776 of the family's 1533-position model. The record is from RNAcentral.
UACGUAGGGCGCAAGCGUUGUCCGGAAUUAUUGGGCGUAAAGAGCUCGUAGGCGGCUUGUUACGUCGGGCGUGAAAGCCCGGGGCUUAACCCCGGGUCUGCAUUCGAUACGGGCUAGCUAGAGUGUGGUAGGGGAGAUCGGAAUUCCUGGUGUAGCGGUGAAAUGCGCAGAUAUCAGGAGGAACACCGGUGGCGAAGGCGGAUCUCUGGGCCAGUACUGACGCUGAGGAGCGAAAGCGUGGGGAGCGAACAGG